This 1250-nucleotide ribosomal RNA is filed under the name 'Callistephus chinensis' phytoplasma. Its description in RNAcentral is "bacterial SSU rRNA". It matches the Rfam family "Bacterial small subunit ribosomal RNA", at positions 153 to 1402 of the family's 1533-position model. The record is from RNAcentral. Lineage: Bacteria; Bacillati; Mycoplasmatota; Mollicutes; Acholeplasmatales; Acholeplasmataceae.
GAAACAGUGGCUAAGACUGGAUAGGAAGAUAAAAGGCAUCUUUUAUCUUUUAAAAGACCUAGUAAUAGGUAUGCUUUAGGAGGGGCUUGCGCCAUAUUAGUUAGUUGGUAGGGUAAUGGCCUACCAAGACGAUGAUGUGUAGCUGGACUGAGAGGUUGAACAGCCACAUUGGGACUGAGACACGGCCCAAACUCCUACGGGAGGCAGCAGUAGGGAAUUUUCGGCAAUGGAGGAAACUCUGACCGAGCAACGCCGCGUGAAUGACGAAGUACUUCGGUAUGUAAAGUUCUUUUAUCAAGGAAGAAAAGCAAAUGGCGAACCAUUUGUUUGCCGGUACUUGAUGAAUAAGCCCCGGCUAAUUAUGUGCCAGCAGCCGCGGUAAGACAUAAGGGGCAAGUGUUAUCCGGAAUUAUUGGGCGUAAAGGGUGCGUAGGCGGUCUAGUAAGUCAGUGGUGUAAUGGCAACGCUUAACGUUGUCCGGCUAUUGAAACUGCUAAACUUGAGUUAGAUAGAGGCGAGUGGAAUUCCAUGUGUAGCGGUAAAAUGCGUAAAUAUAUGGAGGAACACCAGAGGCGUAGGCGGCUCGCUGGGUCUUAACUGACGCUGAGGCACGAAAGCGUGGGGAGCAAACAGGAUUAGAUACCCUGGUAGUCCACGCCGUAAACGAUGAGUACUAAGUGUCGGGUUAAACCGGUACUGAAGUUAACACAUUAAGUACUCCGCCUGAGUAGUACGUACGCAAGUAUGAAACUUAAAGGAAUUGACGGGACUCCGCACAAGCGGUGGAUCAUGUUGUUUAAUUCGAAGAUACCCGAAAAACCUUACCAGGUCUUGACAUGUUUUUGCAAAAUGAUAGUAAUAUCGUGGAGGUUACCAGAAACACAGGUGGUGCAUGGUUGUCGUCAGCUCGUGUCGUGAGAUGUUAGGUUAAGUCCUAAAACGAGCGAAACCCUUAUCGUUAGUUGCCAGCACGUUAUGGUGGGGACUUUAACGAGACUGCCAAUGAUAAAUUGGAGGAAGGUGAGGAUCACGUCAAAUCAGCAUGCCCCUUAUGACCUGGGCUACAAACGUGAUACAAUGGCUGUUACAAAGGGUAGCUGAAACGCAAGUUCUUGGCCAAUCCCCAAAAACAGUCCCAGUCCGGAUUGAAGUCUGCAACUCGACUUCUUGAAGUUGGAAUCGCUAGUAAUCGCGAAUCAGCAUGUCGCGGUGAAUACGUUCUCGGGGUUUGUACACACCGCCCGUCAAAC